Molecule: ribosomal RNA, 406 nt
Filed under: uncultured bacterium
Lineage: Bacteria
Description: partial 16S ribosomal RNA
Rfam family: Bacterial small subunit ribosomal RNA
Source: RNAcentral
AUUGAACGCUGGCGGCAGGCCUAACACAUGCAAGUCGAACGAGUGGCGGACGGGUGAGUAAUGUCUGGGAAACUGCCUGAUGGAGGGGGAUAACUACUGGAACCGGUAGCUAAUACCGCAUACCAUCAGAUGUGCCCAGAUGGGAUUAGUUAGUGGGUGGGGUAACGGCUCACCAAGGCGUCGAUCCCUAGCUGGUCUGAGAGGAUGACCAGCCACACUGGAACGGAGCCACGGUCCAGACUCCUACGGGAGGCAGCAGUGGGGAAUAUUGCACAAUGGGCGCAAGCCUGAUGCAGCCAGGCCACGUGUAUGAAGAAGGCGUUCGGGUUGUAAAGUACUUUCAGCGGGGAGGCGUUACCCGCAGAAGAAGCACCGGCUAACUCCGUGCCAGCCGCCGCGGUAAUUC